Molecule: non-coding RNA, 359 nt
Organism: Pseudomonas caspiana
Lineage: Bacteria; Pseudomonadati; Pseudomonadota; Gammaproteobacteria; Pseudomonadales; Pseudomonadaceae
Source: Rfam
AGAGUCGAUUGGACAGUCGCUGCCUCUUAUUGUUCGCAAUUAAGGGGGGGAGGAAAGUCCGGGCUCCAUAGGGCGGAGUGCCAGGUAACGCCUGGGAGGCGUGAGCCUACGGAAAGUGCCACAGAAAAUAACCGCCUAAGCGUUUCGGCGCCGGUAAGGGUGAAAAGGUGCGGUAAGAGCGCACCGCGCGUCUGGCAACAGUUCGUGGUCAAGGUAAACCCCACUCGGAGCAAGACCAAAUAGGGUUCCUAGGCGUGGCCCGCGCUGGAACCGGGUAGGUUGCUAAAGACGUCCAGUGAUGGCCGUCGUAGAGGAAUGACUGUCCUCGACAGAACCCGGCUUACAGAUCGACUCUCCAC